GGUCAGCUGGCGGAGGCUGCUGCUGCCGGUUGCAGGCUGGCUGCCAUGGAAGUGAGCUCUCACGCACUCGCUCAGCAGCGCGUGGCUGGCUG
RNAcentral lists this transfer RNA (92 nucleotides) under Synechococcus sp. CC9902. RNAcentral describes it as "tRNA-Cys(gca)". Lineage: Bacteria; Bacillati; Cyanobacteriota; Cyanophyceae; Synechococcales; Synechococcaceae. The record is from RNAcentral.